UGGGAGCCUCGCUACUGUUAUUUUCGGGUGGCGAUGGCGUUUUUUUCUUUGGUGCUUACUUUUCCAAUCCAAGGUCGUGCUGCUGUCGAGUUGCGGGGCCGCUCUUGCGUGGCACCUUUCCCUGUGCGCUAAUAAUACUUUUCAGAGACGACCUCUAUCGUAAAAGUAGCAAGUUGACGAGACGCAAACCUGAAGAUAUUCAAGCAGCACUUUGAGUGCAAGCAGCCCAAAUAUUGAAUGUUCCCAGAACUGGUUGAUGUGCAGGCCUAAGUGACCACACACACUCAAAUGGACCUACAGCUAGGACACACACUGACCAUGAUUUGAAUGCUGCAGCUGAGACGGAAUGAUGUUGAGGGACACACGCUAAGAACCAGAGUAUGACUGGACAUGGGAGGGCCUGAUAUUUGUGACCACGACAUAAAAGGGUUGCAGAAGCAUACCAUCACACCAUUUUAUGUUUAUUCUAUGGCCAACUACGUCUCUAGCCCACCUGAAAUCACAAUAUGCUGUUUUACAUGUUAUUUGUGCUGGUCUAAUUCCUUUUAUGGAAAAGCAGAAGAAUCUGUGCGCUCUCAUGUAUUAAUAAUAGUUAAUAUGGUGCUCUUCGAUGUCACCAGGUUUGUGGCAAUAAUUAAUAAAUCAUUUAAUAUUUACUUCUAGUCAAAUGUUUAUGUUAUGUAUAAAAGGCAUAUCUAUU
Molecule: long non-coding RNA, 700 nt
Organism: Salmo salar (Atlantic salmon)
Lineage: Eukaryota; Metazoa; Chordata; Actinopteri; Salmoniformes; Salmonidae
Source: RefSeq, a predicted model, not a curated record